RNAcentral lists this transfer RNA (77 nucleotides) under Rickettsiales bacterium. RNAcentral's name for it is "tRNA-Ile". It matches the Rfam family "tRNA". From Rfam's summary of the family: Transfer RNA (tRNA) molecules are approximately 80 nucleotides in length. Their secondary structure includes four short double-helical elements and three loops (D, anti-codon, and T loops). Lineage: Bacteria; Pseudomonadati; Pseudomonadota; Alphaproteobacteria; Rickettsiales. The record is from RNAcentral.
GGGUUUGUAGCUCAGUUGGUUAGAGCGCACGCCUGAUAAGCGUGAGGUCGGUGGUUCAAAUCCACCCAGACCCACCA